CCUAAACUUAGAUAUUCAACAUACAAGAAUAUCCGCCAGAGAACUACGAGCAAAAUGCUUAAAACUCAAAGGACUUGGCGGUACCUCAAACCCCCCUAGAGGAGCCUGUUCUAUAAUCGAUAAUCCACGAUACACCUCACCAUCUCUUGCCAAUUCCGCCUAUAUACCACCGUCACCAGCUUACCCCAUGAGGGAUUUAAAAGUAAGCAAGACAACUAAAAACAGUUAAUAAGUCAGGUCAAGGUGUAGCUAACUGAGAUGGAAGAAAUGGGCUACAUUUUCUACACUAGAAAUCAAUUUACGGAAGGAAACUAUGAAACUAGUCCUACAAGUAGGAUUUAGCAGUAAACCUGGAUCAGAACGCCUAAUUU
RNAcentral lists this ribosomal RNA (371 nucleotides) under Batagur dhongoka (three-striped roofed turtle). RNAcentral describes it as "partial 12S ribosomal RNA". It matches the Rfam family "Bacterial small subunit ribosomal RNA", at positions 801 to 1364 of the family's 1533-position model. Lineage: Eukaryota; Metazoa; Chordata; Testudines; Geoemydidae. The record is from RNAcentral.